UACUAAAGUCCAAAUCUACUGGGUAUGGU
This 29-nucleotide non-coding RNA is filed under the name Rattus norvegicus (Norway rat). Lineage: Eukaryota; Metazoa; Chordata; Mammalia; Rodentia; Muridae. The record is from RNAcentral.